This 2645-nucleotide long non-coding RNA is filed under the name Helianthus annuus (common sunflower). The record is from RNAcentral. Lineage: Eukaryota; Viridiplantae; Streptophyta; Magnoliopsida; Asterales; Asteraceae.
GUUGCCUGUAAAGAUUGUAUUCAUGGUAAGUUUCUGUAUCCGAUUCAAAGUUCUUGACAUUUGAUUUUGAUAUUGGUUCUGGAAGAGAGCCACCCUCUUUUGUUUUACGCAUAAAUCCUCCAUUCUAUGUUUUGAUCUGAAGCUAACUCAAUCCACAAUCAAGGUUUCAAAGAAGAAAUUUAUGGUUUCCAUUUCCCCAUCGAAUUCAUCGUUUCAAAUCUCUAAACCUCUGAUUCGUUGAAUCCUAAAUAGUUCCUUCAUUCGCCAAACCCCAAAUCCUUCAUUCACGAAAUCCUAAAUCGUUUCGAUUUCCUUAUCGCUGUGUCUCCUCUUCCUUUACCAGUGAACCCUAAAUCCAUCUCCCCAAACCCUCUCAUCUUCCCCAGCAAUAUUCUGUCAGUAGAUCUAAAUCUGAACUAAUAUUGUAACGACUUGAGGGUUUCCAUGCUAGCGGCUAUGGUUCAUAUUCGAUAGCAAUCGUUGAUUUGGGUGAUCUACGAUCUACUUGAAAAAUCAUCUGAUCAUUUGGAACUCAGAGAGGACCUAGAGCAGGGGAUAGUUGUAGCUGGGCUAAGAUGUAUCAAGGUCAACUCAGCUGAUAAGAUUCUUGAGCUUUUCAAUGUUGGGAACAGUAGGCGCAAAAUUGACAACAUAGAUGCCAACGAGACAUCAUCACGGUCUCGUGAACUUUUGGAAAUAACUGUGCUUAGAAAACAGAAAAGGAAAUACCAUAGUCAAGUUAUUUGUGGUAAACUCGCACUUGUGGAUCUUGCUAGGAGGAUUGUUUUCGAAGUCCUAGAUAUGGCAUACAUCUUCCUUCUCGAUGAAGCCUCUUAAAUCUAAACAUUCAAGCAUCAGGUACAAACAUCUCAUAAGAAAAUCCGUUGCAGUUUGAAGGUCUAUUGUAAACUUCACAAACAUCUCAUACGAAGAUUUGUCAGGCGAAAGCUGGGUCUGGUUCUACAACAUUAUCAAUGGCGUAUGCAGCAGUUAAGUUUGCAGAUCGCUCUCUCAAGGGCUUAAAAGGAGAUGCUAACAUUAUGGAGUGUGCUUUUAUAGAAUCUCGGGUUUGGUUUGGAAGAAGUUAAAAAAGAGUUGGCAGGAAGCAUUGAGAAAGGAGUUUGUACCUUAAAUAGAUGUACAAUUGUUGAUCAAGUAUCUUUGGGAUGCUGCAGAUGGUAACGCGUCGGAACUUGUGACUGUAGAUGACGAUGUGGGUCCGGUUACGAGUGUUAAGUGGCAAGGACCCGACUGAUCAAACUGGUAUAGACAAUUACAUGGUGCAGGAACUAGAUGGAACCAAAAAUGAGCGGGGUUGGUGCAAGCAAAAGCUUGGCGCAAAUGCCAUUCUGGCGGUGUCUCUUACAGCUGCAAAGCGGGAGCGAGUGUCAAAAACAUUCCUCUUUACAAGACAUAUGAACUGUUGAAAAAAGGUCAGAAGACGCUUUAGAUGUAUUAUAUUGGGUUUUUUAAAAAGCUGAAAACUUGAGGAGAAAAUGGAAGUUGUAAAUGAACAAGAUUCUCAUCAUCCACUCCCUCCUGUUCGUGCUUCAACUCCUCAACAUAUAAACAGAUACAUGGAGUUCACCAGCGGGAUUUGAUAAUGAAGUUUUAAAUGUUGAAUUUGAGAAAAUGGCUAAAGCUUUUGUGGUUGGAGUUUCCACAUAUUCACAAUCUUUGCCUCUUACGAGGAGGUGAUCUAUCAAAAGUCAUAGAAUCCUUCAAAGCCAUGGACUUGAUGCACUAUCUAAACAAAAUCAAUAAGAGGAUACUUAUCUAUAUGUUGCUGCAGAGAAUGGCAUGUUUAUGUAGGGAGCUUUUCGAACCCGCUUUCUAUCUUUGAUAAUGGAAUUUUCUAUGAAAUGAACUCGAUGAUGCUUAGGGACCGUGGUUGGUCAUGCAAGGCGUGAGGAAAAAAGCUUGUUUGUUUGGCAUUGAUAUAGGCUGAUCAACAGUUCGAUUAUAGAAAUGGCUUUUUUGACACAUGUGCAUAUGACAUCCAUCACUUUCAAAGCAUGACUUACAACCAGUUCUGCAUAAGAGCAUAGUACCAAAUCUUACUGGCCAGUCGGAGCGGAAAGUAGCUACACAAGCAGCCCAGUCAAGUACUCUUGAACCGCCUUCAUUUGGGCCAGUCGGUUCUGUGCUGGUUGUUGAACCGGCGAACCGGAUUGAUGCAUUGCUGUGGCGUACGAACGACCACACCCAUGAAAGGAAGUCCCGGAUCUGGUGGUGACGUGACUAGGGUUCCGUCGUUGGAGCUGUGACUGUGGCGUAAGAACGGGUAUUCAGGUCAACGGUGGUGGUUGUGGCAGCAAGAACAAAACAUAUUGUAUUGGACUUUGCUUCUGUUGCGGGUAAAAAAUGCACUUACGACGCCCUAUGAUUGAACCAGAAAGUUUGAAAGUUUGUUGGAGGUACUUUGUUUGUGUAACUGGUACAUUAAGAUACUUUUUGUAAGAAAAAUACAUGCAGCCAUAAUUUUUUUUUCUUCGGUUCAAAUUGUUUUGUUAAUUGUGUGUUUGCUAAAGAGAUUUGGGCUAGAUUAUCUUGGUUGAGUGAGUGUGUAGGGUAAUAUCAACCUUCAGGCCUAUUUGACCCGCUUCAGUUUUAGCCUUGGUUUAAAAACCACGCCUAGGAGCAAG